RNAcentral lists this ribosomal RNA (301 nucleotides) under uncultured bacterium. Its description in RNAcentral is "partial 16S ribosomal RNA". It matches the Rfam family "Bacterial small subunit ribosomal RNA", at positions 509 to 809 of the family's 1533-position model. The record is from RNAcentral.
CAGUCGCCACGGGAAAACGGAGGGAGCUAGCGUUGCUCGGAAUGACUGGGCGUAAAGCGUGCGCAGGCGGCUAUGCAAGACAGAUGUGAAAUCCCCGGGCUCAACCUGGGAACUGCAUUUGUGACUGCAUGGCUAGAGUACGGUAGAGGGGGAUGGAAUUCCGCGUGUAGCAGUGAAAUGCGUAGAUAUGCGGAGGAACACCGAUGGCGAAGGCAAUCCCCUGGACCUGUACUGACGCUCAUGCACGAAAGCGUGGGGAGUAAACAGGAUUAGAUACCCGUGUAGUCCCUGUCUCUUAUAA